CUAAAUAUGGGUAAGUUCAUACCCUAUAAUAAUCUCCUGUGUAAAGUCACUGACCCAUUUCCACUGCUGCUCUCUCAUCUGCUGCUCUGAAGCCUAAACCAUGGUGCCCAGAAUCUUCGAAGCUUAACCCUUUCCAGAGCCCUCCCUGCAUUUCCUCACCUGCCAAGCCCAGUCCCCAGGACCUACAUCCAGAGUCAGUCCCAAAAUCCACUGUGAGCUGUUACAGCAACCAAAGAAACUCAGAGACAUCAUCUUGUGCCCCAAUGAUCAUGAUCCGGUGACCCCAGAAACAUUGUCAUUCUCCUUCUGCUCUCAGCUGAUCUUUGUUUUUGAACUCCUGGGCUCAGACUCAGAAGGGACCACAGAUGAGAAGGGGUGUGAUAUUGGACUGUGGUUGUGCCAGUUGACACUCCAGAGUGGAGACCAGAUCUGCAAUCUCUUGGGGCUGUAAUAAGGGGAUCAUCCUGUCCUUGAACAAGACCCAGCUCUGUGGUCCUAACUGCACUUCUGGCCCUGCUUCCAGCACUGCUGACUGGAGCCCCUGGGCUCUCAGCACCAGGCAGUAGUGAGGCUCCAUGUCCCAGGAGUGAGGCCUGACUACCCCAGGAGUGUGCUCAAGUAAGGGCAGCCCAGGCGGUGGACAGAGUUUUGUUGUGUGUAUUCCAUCAAGAUGCAACUCAUGAGAAGCUGGAGGACCUGGAGAAGCUGGCAACUCAAAAAGGCCAAAGGGUGCAGACAAUAAAAGCCCCAGACAAGCGUAUAGAACCACACGCCGUCUUUUUACUUGCCGCCCAGGGCGGCUCAUGGAGGAGACAGGGACUCUCCCCAGGUCGAAGGCCCAAGGCCUGGAUGAUGGGGUGGGGCCCAGGAUGGGUGCCAGGGGUCUGGAGGACAUGAGUGGAUGAAGGCCCCGGGCUUCAGCUUCCUCUUGGUGGAAUGUGGGUGAUGAGGUCCGACCAUGCAGCGCUGCUGUGAGGACCGGAUGAGAGGAUCCCUGGGAGGUGGCCGGUGACUUGGUACCGUCACCUCAGUGACUGUUCUUCGUCCUCAUGGAUGUUCAGAGAAGACUUGCCCACUCUCUCCACCAGAUACAACCAAUAAAACCUCUGAAAAUUUCAGCCGAA
RNAcentral lists this long non-coding RNA (1124 nucleotides) under Homo sapiens (human). RNAcentral describes it as "HSALNT0398304". Lineage: Eukaryota; Metazoa; Chordata; Mammalia; Primates; Hominidae. The record is from RNAcentral.